RNAcentral lists this ribosomal RNA (301 nucleotides) under uncultured bacterium. RNAcentral's name for it is "partial 16S ribosomal RNA". It matches the Rfam family "Bacterial small subunit ribosomal RNA", at positions 509 to 807 of the family's 1533-position model. The record is from RNAcentral.
CAGCCGCCACGGUAAGACGGAGGGUGCUAGCGUUGUUCGGAAUUACUGGGCGUAAAGCGCGCGUAGGCGGUUACUCAAGUCAGAGGUGAAAGCCCGGGGCUCAACCCCGGAACUGCCUUUGAAACUAGGUGACUAGAAUCUUGGAGAGGUCAGUGGAAUUCCGAGUGUAGAGGUGAAAUUCGUAGAUAUUCGGAAGAACACCAGUGGCGAAGGCGACUGACUGGACAAGUAUUGACGCUGAGGUGCGAAAGCGUGGGGAGCAAACAGGAUUAGAUACCCCUGUAGUCCCUGUCUCUUAUAC